RNAcentral lists this long non-coding RNA (223 nucleotides) under Daucus carota (carrot). Its description in RNAcentral is "long non-coding RNA (DCAR_LNC000126)". The record is from RNAcentral. Lineage: Eukaryota; Viridiplantae; Streptophyta; Magnoliopsida; Apiales; Apiaceae.
GGUGUUUAAAGCUGGUUAACAUAAAUAUGAGUAAUUUAUGAGUCAUCCAAUUAAUUACAUAACACUCCCCCUUGGAUGACUUGUACUAACAUCAAGCCUCGUUAAAACCUUACUAGGAAAAACCCAAUGGGAAAAACCCUGUGAAUGAAAAAGAGUACAUGUGUUGUACAUAAUGUAAUGUAAAGGAAAUACCAUAUCUCCCCCUCAUUUCAAUAUAUCUCGA